UUGGUAGCAUGUUUUUCCAGACUUGCAGAUAUUGCAAUGUUGCAUGUGCCUCUAAGAUCAUUAGUUCAAUAAAAUAUCAUCAAAACCAGUUUCCAUGAACAUGAGUACUCACAAUAUAAUUUCAAAGGCAAACAAUGAAGUCAAAAUUUAUAGAUAAAAUAAUGUAUGCUGUCAAGAGGUAUGGGAAGAAUAAAAAGAAUGGCUGAGUGAGGCUAUUAUUGAUUGAUAUUUAAGUCUCAAAACAAGUACAAAUGAAACAAGUUGAAGAUGAUACAUCAUAAACAGAACUUAAGUAGCAAAGGACACAAAUA
Molecule: unclassified non-coding RNA, 311 nt
Filed under: Hevea brasiliensis (rubber tree)
Lineage: Eukaryota; Viridiplantae; Streptophyta; Magnoliopsida; Malpighiales; Euphorbiaceae
Source: RNAcentral